Molecule: long non-coding RNA, 8310 nt
Filed under: Homo sapiens (human)
Lineage: Eukaryota; Metazoa; Chordata; Mammalia; Primates; Hominidae
Description: HSALNT0359715
Source: RNAcentral
CUGGUACUAAGACAUUUAUUAUAUCAUAAAAAGUCCACUGUUGUUCUGUUUUUCCAUAUGUACAUGCUCCUGUGGGCAGUCCCCCACCCAGCCCCCACCUGCCUACCCUCCAUGGUGCCAGUCAACUCUCCAAACUGACCAACUAAUUAGUAAAAGAGGAAGAACUGGAGGAGGUGGCCCAGGGCUAAUGGGAGUGGGAAACAAAGUGCAGAGUGGUUGGGCUUAGUUUUCAAUGCCUGACCGUGGGCAGGCACUGCAGGGCCGGCACACGGAUGCCUCCCCAGAGCUGCCGGGCUGGAGGCAGAGGCUGCAGAUGACAGCUGAGUUCACUCUCAGGCUGAACCCCCAGGAAUGGAGCGCAGAGGAGGAAAAAGGUCCCACAGCUGAUUGGGGGUCUUAGCUGGGGCUAUCAACAUUCUCUUUUUCAGGUCCCCAUCCAAGUGGCAGCAACAGCAGCUCUGACUUGGCCUGAAGAGCUUGUGGCCCGCAGGACAGCCAGAAGUGGGGUCAAGGAAAGCCUGGUGGGAAGCACUGGUCCUGAUCUCUGAGUGACCUGCCUUAGUUGACCUCAGAGGUGGGUAUGGGAUCUGUGGGGCGGGGUGUGGCCAGGAGGGGCACUGGUGAGGUGGCCUCGAUGAGCGCAGGGUUGAGGAUGAUGGGCAGAGUCAUAGGUGGCACGCCCACCUGCAGUGGGGAGGCCAAGGGCUGCAGGAUCAGUGGGGGCUGAGCCAAGGGUGGAGGCCCGUCGGGGGUGGGGCUCAGCCUGCUGGGGCUUGAGGCCACUGGUGAUCCUGGGGAGCUGCUGCUGGCGGCUCGGGGGCUCUCGGGCUUCUCAAAGUCUGUAGGGAAAGCAAGGUGGUUACAGUCAGAUUCCCUUGUUGGUACAAGACAACUCUCACAUUGCCCAGCUGGCUGCUUAUAGAGUCUCUGUUCCUCCUUGUUCCAGUAAGCAACACGGCCCCCCACCAGCCUAAAAAGUUGGGAGUCUCCCCUCAAAACUCAUUUCAAUGUUCAGCUACCUUCUAUCUCCUUUGCCAGGCUACUCUUUUUUUUUUUUUUUUUUUUUUUUUUCGCGACAGGGUCUCACUAUCACCCAGGUUGGAGUGCAGUGGCAUGAUCUCAGCUCACUGCAACCUCUGCCUCCCGGGUUCAAGCGAUCCUUCCACCUCAGCCUCCCCAGUAGCUGGGAUUAUAGGUGUGCACUACCACGCCCAGCUAAUUUUUAUAUUUUUUUGGUACAGGCGGGGUUUCACCAUGUUGGCCAGGCUGGUUUCAAACUCCUGACCUCAGGUGAUCUACCUGCCUCAGCCUCCCAAAGUGCUGGGAUUACAGGUAUGAGCCACUGCGCCUGGCCGCCAGGUUACUCUCUACUAGAAUCCCUGAAAGGAAACCUCUGCAAAUUCAUUCCAAGUCCCUGACCCAGCCUUCUCUUCCCAAGCCUGAAGACUGCAAGCAGCUAGUUCCUCAUAGCUUAUGGUCCUGUCAUUUCCCAUGGGAAGAGCGGCAACAGUUCUCUCUAGUGGCCUUCUUCCCUCGGCUCACAGACCCUGCUCAGCAGCAUUCCCACGCCCCCUUGGGCCUCCUCUUAGGCCCCCUGCUUGCUACUCAGUGCCUAUCAGGCUAGGCUAGAGAGACUCACCACAGGCCCCCAGCUCAGAUGGAAUCUCUGGGGGCGGUGGAUGGCCAGGUGUCCUAGUGUCGCCAGCAGCGGAAGUCAGGUGGGCUGAGGCGAGAGGCUUUUGGCCUUGAGGCUCCAUGGGCAUGGGGUCUGGAGACGGUAGAGAAUUGAGAUGGCACCUCUUAGUGCUUUCUCUCUCCAGCAGAGCCCUAGCUACCCAACAGCCUUUCUACCCACCCAGGGCACAGACAAUAAAUUCAGCUUUGGGGACUUUUUUUUUUUGAGAUGGAAUCUCGUUCUGUCACUCAGGCUGUGAUCUCGGCUCACUGCAACCUCCACUUCCCGGGUUCAAGUGAUUCUCCUGUUUCAGCCUCCUGAGUAGCUGGGACUACAGGCACCCACCGCCACACCUGGCUAAUUUUUGUAUUUUUCGUAGACAUGGGGUUUCACUAUGUUGGUCAGGCUGGUCUCAAAUUCCUGCCCUCGGGUGAUCCACCCACCUCGGCCUCUCAAAGUGCUGGGAUUAGAGGUGUGAGCCAUUGUGCCCAGGCAGGAGACUCUUUUUGAUAAAGCUGGGCUGAGCCCCCUACCCUGGAUGACGGUCUGCUUGAAGAGUUCAUCUCGUAGGUGAGGGAGAAAACAGUCAAUGCGUUCCCAGGUGAUCUCCCAGAGGGCCGAGGGGCCGCCUCCCCGUGCAUCUGCACUGUGGAAAAUCUCCGCUGUGUCCAUCACCAGAAGCAUGUUCUUCAGAGACUCAGGGAUCGCCUCUGACUGCAGGUGGCAGUGGGACCAUGAGAAUAGGAAAGAGGGCAUGGGGGGAGUAUGGUAAAGGGAGGUAGCUACCAAGGGGGAAAGGGCAAGUCCUUCCAACAGGUGGGACAGGAGGCAGGCAGCAGAGCUGAGGUAGAACAUACCAGUAAGUCGCUGGAGCCUGCGUGCAUGUACUUGUCCAUGAAGUCCAAGAUGGUGAGCCAGAGGGCCGCAAAGGUAGAGAGUGACAGCAGUGGAGACAGGUGCUGCAGGAAGACCUAUGGCCCACCAGCCCCCUUCAGCUGAGGGGACUGUAGGAGCCUCUGGACCCCUCUCUGAGGCUGGGUAGCUAAGCCUGUCCUAUCUUGCAUGAGAAUCUUAGAUCAGAGAUGGAGGAAUCUCUGAUUUAAGAUUCAGAAUCCUCUCAGGUCCCUAGGUCCUGCUUAGUGUCCAUAGCUGGGGGGUUGUGAGCACCUACAGUGCAUCUCUAGGUCCUGCCAGAAGCCCUGGCUUCCCUCCUCGGGAAAAGGCAGGUAUGGGAGAGAGGGUGGGUAUAGGGUGGUGAGCAGUACCUUAGAGAGCAAUGUGGAAGCCCUCAUCCGGGUCUCCUCCAUCCCACCCACAUCUGCAGGGCUGAUGUUCUCCAAGAGCUUGGUAAGUAGAGGAAACAGCACCUGGUGGGGGUAAAUGUGCAAUGUCUCCCUAUGAGGUUCAGCUAGGCAGCCUUGCCCCAAGGAAGCCAGGAACUGGAUGGGCAUAGAGCUGAAGGGAAGGUAUGAUGCAGGCUGAAGACUCACAUUAGGGGCUCUUCAGGCUGCCUGGCUUUCCUUUUCUUAGGAUUUGAACUUUAUCUUAAGACCAGUAGGAAGUCCCACCUUGUUAAAACAGGACUCCCAUUCCAGGGCAUCUAGCUUUUGCAGAUCAUGUACAAGUAGUGCUCGCUGCAGAUAGGUCAGUGCCUGCAUCCGUACCUGGCGCCGGGCAUCGCAGCACAGGCAGGCAAUACCUGAGAGCAAGAGCAGGGUCAGGAUCCUUCAGGCAUCUUGAUCCUGAUGCUCCCCAAACUCCCUACCUCUGCCCCUCCUGGUUUACCCUGCAGUAAAGGGCACCAGCAGUGGGCCCAGAGGGUGCGAGAAUCAGCUUCAAUCUUCUGGCCACCUGUCUCCAGGUGGCGUUGCUCCUCCGCCCAUGAGCUGUAGAUAGAGGCUGCCCGCGUGUGCAGGGUGUGCAUCAGGUCUAGCAACUAGGAUCACAGGAGGGGGCAGGAUGUGAGUGGGGUUAGGUCUCGUGGAUCCCUUUCCCCCUCCCCACUCACUGUCCCUAACUAAGUCCUCAAGGUGUCCCUAGCACCAAUCAUGCCAUACCUCACCCCCUCGCUACUCUUUCCCUUGACUUGACUUCCUGGUUGUUCCAGUCCUUGUAAAGGACUCUCCAAGUCAGAGAUUACUCAUGAGAGAGAGAGCCUUAGGAGGUGUGUGGACUGAGUAUUUCACAAUCCUUACUCACAGUGAGAAAGAUACUUUCUUUUCAAUUCUAUUUCACACCUGCUGAUGACAGAGAAAGCCUCAUGUUGUUAAUUUAAUUUUAUUUUUUGAGGCAGGGUCUCACUCUGUCACCCAGGCUGGAGUGCAGUGGCACAAUCACGGCUCGCUGCAGCCUCGAACUCCUGGGCUCAGGUGAUCCUCCCACCUCAGCCUUAUGAGUAGAUGGAACUACAGCUGUGCGCUGCCACAGCCAGCUAAUUUUUUGUAUUUUUGUAGAGAUGGGGUUUUGCCAUGUUGCCCAGGCUGAUCUUGAGCUCCUGGGCCCAAGCAAUAGUCCUCCCAAAGUUUUAGGAUUACAGGUGUGAUUAUACCAUGCCCGGCCUAAUUUUAUUUCUUAUUUUAUUUUUUGAGACAGGGUCUUGCUCUGUGCAAAACUGGAGUGCAUGGCACCAUCAUGGCUCACUGCCUCCUGGAUCUCCUAGGCUCAAGAAAUCCUCCCACCUACUCAGCUACUCAGCCUCCCCAGUAGCUGGGACUACAAUGUGUGCCACCAUGCCCAGAUAAUUUUUGCAUUUUUAUUUUUGUAGAGGCAGGGUCUCGCUAUUUUUCCCAGGCUGGUCUCGAACUCCUGGCCUCAAGUGAUCCUCCCGCCUCAGCCUCCCAAAGUGCUGGAAUUACAGGUGUGAGCCACUGUACCUGGCUGUUAAUCUCAUUUUUAAAACAGAAAACCUCAGGCUCAGAGGCUUUGAUUGGGCAAUAGUGUCUGGCCAGAUUUAAUACAUUUUUACUUUCGUUAUUUUUCUUUUCUUUCUUUUUUUUUUUUUUGAGAUGGAGUCUUGCUCUGUCGCCCAGGCUGGAGUGCAGUGGCAUAAUCUCGGCUCACUGCAAGCUCUGCCUCCCGGGUUCACGCCAUUCUCCUGUCUCAGCCUCCCGAGUAGCUGGGACUACAGGCGCCUGCCACCAUGCACAGCUAUUUUUUCUAUUUUUAGUAGAGACGGGGUUUCACCGUGUUAGCCAGGGUGGUCUCCAUCUCCUGACCUCAUGAUCCACCCGCCUCGGCCUCCCAAAGUGCUGGGAUUACAGGCAGGAGCCACCAAGCCCAGCCACUUUUGUCAUUUUUGUAUGGUUAUUCUAUUUAAGGCAAUUGGUUCUCCAUCAAUUUAGUGAUAUAAACUCUGCUCACAUAAUUAAUUUUAUAUGCCUUUGAAUAGACACAGGGUAACUCUGGAAGGAUAGACAAGAAACUGGUGACAGUGGCUGCCUCUAGUGAGGGGAACUCAGAAGCUGGGGACAGGAAUGGAUUGGAAACUUAGUUUUAUCAGUUUACCCUUUUGUAUAUUUUGAACCUACUCAAAAAAUAAGUAAAUCUUAGUUUAAAAAUAAAUUUAAAGGCCAGGUGUGGUGGCUCAUGCCUGUAAUCCUAGCACUUUGAGAGGCCGAGGCAGGCGGAUCACGAGGUCAGGAGAUCAAGGCCAUCCUGGCCAACAUGGUGAAACCCCGUUUCUACUAAAAAUACAAAAAAUUAGCCAGGCAUGGUGGCACGCGCCUGUAGUCCUAGCUACUUGGAAGGCUGAGGCAGGAGAAUCGCUUGAACCCGGGAGGUGGAGGUUGCAGUGAGCCGAGAUCACGCCACUGCACUCCAGCCUGGGUGACAGAGAGACUACAUCUCAAAAAAUAAAUAAAUAAAUAAAUAAAUAAAAAUAAAAAUAAAUAAAUAAAUAAAUUUAAGCAAAUAAAGACUUACAGGUAAGGUUUUGGGUAAGGGAAUAUUGUGAAGAUGGUGGUCCAGGGCCUGGGCUGGCACACAUGGGCCCUUCCCCUCAGCCCUGGCUUUCCCUGGCCGCCCCAGGCUCCCAGUAUCAGGUGCAGGGGAGGAGAGGAAGUAAAGGGUGCCAUACUUACGUCCUGACUGACCUGUAAAGACACCGUAUGGUAGCUGGCAGGCACGCCUUCGUCCUCAUCAUCAUCACUCUGCCCGCCCCGAGAGGCAUGUUGGCUGGAGGUUCGAGGCCGGCGAAGCAUUGAUCCCUCUUUGGAUUUCUUCUUGAAGCGGUUCCCUUUGCUGUCAUAUUUGUGACUCUUGCCACGUUUCUCCUGGGACUUGCAUCCUGAGCAGAGCCAGACUCAGGUCACAUUUCUGUGUCUAUAUAGGCAUAGAUACCCUGCCUUUUCUCCCCUCUCAGCCUCUCCCCUGCAUAAUUGCAUGGCUACUCCCCAGCUGCCCCCUCAUCAGCUGACCCACCGCCAUUCAGACUGGCCUCCACAAAGAUCCGGAGAGUCUUGACGCAGAGCUCAAAGUUGUCAGGUGUGAUGUGGGCAGCAUCACGCACAAUGAAGGACAGCGAUUCCACACACUUAAGCAGAGACUUAGUGUCGUGUGGCCCCAAAUCCAGUCCCACUGUUAGGCUGUAUUGAUUGAUCAGGGGUGAAGGGCCUGGGCGGCUGGGCCCUGGCUUGGAGUUAUCAACGUCAUCCUUCCCAACCUGUAAAGUACACAGAGGAGCUGGGGACACAGGCUUGGCCCCUGUGUGAAUGUCCUUGCAGAGGACCAGGAAUUCUUCCCACAGGUCAAGCAGGAGAGACUCAAUUGCUGCCCAUAUUGUCACUCACCACUAACCAACCACUGUUGACCACAUCGGCAUCUGUGGCUGAUCGGUGUAUCUUGCCCGGCCUGCCAUGGUCAGUGUAGACCUCUGAGUCGGAAGUGUACCCUCGAUCCAGGCUCACGUCAUUCUGAUGGUAGGAUGGGAGCUCACUAUCUGACUGGGCCCCUAUGGUAGGCAGGGAGAAGGGCAGAGUCAGGGUGGGGAUGGGGCACUGGGAUGAGGGAUAAAUCAGGCUCUCAGAAAAAAGAUGCUGAGGCCUGGCCUCCCCUCUCUCUGGCAUAGUUUAAUUUCUGUCACCAGAGGGCCAAAGGAUGGCCGGAACAGUUUCUCUGUUGACCAAAUAAGGUGGCAGGCUAAUCUGGGUUCCUGAUGGCAUCUAGUGGCAGCUGUAGCACCACUCUAGGGAGUGGUGGCAAGGACAAAUAAGCAAUGCAGAAGGCUAUGAAGCCAGGCUUUCCACUGUCCUGAGGACUGUUUUCCCAGUUUCUGGGAUUUAGUGAUGUAUCGAUUUAGUGAUAUAAAGUCUGCUCACAGAAUUCUAUUUUCCCAGAAUUCUGGGAAAACAGUCCUCGGGACAGCUCAGAAACAGAAACUGGGAAACAGUCCUCAGGACAAAUCAGUCCUCAGGACAGUAGGAAGCCUGGCUUCACAGCCGUCUGCAUUGCUUAUUUGCCCUCAUGCUAUUUAACUUAUGGGUACUAGCCAGCGGGCACUGGAAGCUCUGGAAGUGAUGGCAGGAGCCAGGGCUGUUUAAUCUGCUGAACACAGUAACCUGUGUUUUGUUUUCCUGUCCCAACUCCUGGGGUGUAACUGUUUAUCUGCCAGCCUGAGUCUCCCUGGGAAAGGGCUUACCGGCAUCAGGUGCAUCUGCCCUGGCUGUGGCCUGCAGAGCAGCUGGAGGCUUCACACCUGAGCCGAUGCACUCCAGCAGUGUGAAGAGUGUGGCCCAGUCAUCACCUGAGUGGAUGUUGGCUGCAUUGGUCUUCAGGAGUUCAUGGAGCCCAUACGCAACCUGGUGGCUGACUCGGGAUAGCACACUGGGCUUCAUCAGUAGCAAAAUGCGCAGGGAGAGCAGCACCUGGAGUGGGGUUAGGGCAGGGAGCGGGGAAGCGGGGAGCUGUGUGGGCACACAGCUUCCUGUCUAGUUUUCUUUCCCACCAGUCUCCUUAGGCCAGUGAAGACAGUUUGGCUAGGACCCAAUUUAGGAUACUGCUCUGGUCUUUUUUUUUUUUUUCAAAUAGAAAUAUAUUAAUUAUAUUAUUUGAGACAGGGUCUUGGUCUGUCUCCCAGGCUGGAGCACAGUAGCACAAUCACAGCUCACUGCAACCUGAAACUCCUGGGCUCAAGUGAUCCUCCUGCCUCAGUCUCUGGAGUAGCUGGGACUACAGGUGCAUGUGACCACACCUGGCUAAUUUUUUUUUUCUUUUUUGGAAAGAUGGGGUCUCGCUAUGUUGCCCAGGCUGGUCUUGAACUCCCAGGCUCAAGCGAUCUUCCCGUCUCAGCCUCCUGAAGUGCUGGGAUUAUAGGCAUGAGCCACUGCACCCAGCCUCAAAUACAAAUUUUUAUUGAGAAAAUUAUAGGCUCAUAUGCAGUUGUAAAGAAAUAAUACAAAAAGGUCCCUUAUACACUUUGCCCAGUUUAUCCCAAUGGUAACAUUAUGCAAAACUAUAGUAUAAUAUCAUAAUCAAGAUACUAUCUGAUCUUAUUCAGAUUUCCUGUUUUACUUGCAUUUUUGUGUGUAUUAAUUUCUAUACAAUUUUAUUACCUGUGUAGGUUUGGGUAUCCACCACAAAACAACAUACUGAACAGUUCCACCACAACAGUAUCCCUCAUGUUGCCUUUUUCUUUUUUU